RNAcentral lists this ribosomal RNA (253 nucleotides) under uncultured bacterium. RNAcentral's name for it is "partial 16S ribosomal RNA". It matches the Rfam family "Bacterial small subunit ribosomal RNA", at positions 524 to 776 of the family's 1533-position model. The record is from RNAcentral.
UACAGAGGGUGCGAGCGUUAAUCGGAAUUACUGGGCGUAAAGGGCGCGUAGGCGGUUAAAUAAGUUUUGUGUGAAAUGCCCGGGCUUAACCUGGGAUCUGCACAAGAUACUGUAUAGCUAGAGUAGAGUAGAGGGAAGUGGAAUUUCCGGUGUAGCGGUGAAAUGCGUAGAUAUCGGAAGGAACACCAGUGGCGAAGGCGGCUUUCUGGACUCAUACUGACGCUGAGGCGCGAAAGCAUGGGGAGCAAACAGG